UCAUUCAUACAUCCAAUCAUUCACGCAGACAAAGAAAUGUAAGCACACGCGCCUGCCCUGCAGUAGUGUGGCCCGGCACAAAGUAGCUGUAGUAGCUGGUACACAGUAAGCACAGUAAGCUGGUACACACAUAGCACGACCACCAGCAUCUCGAGAGGCCUUUUCAGCCGCCAGCUACUAAAUAAUGCAUGAACGUCACAUAGAGGAAGGUAGCAUAAUACGAGCCGUCAACGAUAGGACCAUCACCGCCAACCGGACUGUGUGAACCUGUCUCCAGUGCGUCACGCAGCACACUGACUGCCUUGACGCUUCCAGUUGAGGGAUCCAUGUCGAGGUCGGCCAACCUGUCUGUCAGUGAAUGGCGGUAAGUCAGCCACAAACCAGUCUGUACCUAAUUCCAGGUUGGAUAGAGCCUACUUGAGAGUGGCGCGCUGGUUCUGUUUGUCCUUGUAGUUGAGAUCCUGGGACGAGAUGUUGACAUGGGGCAUGCGCUUGCUCAGCGCGCGCAGUGCAGGGAAGCUGAUGAGGUAUGGCCCGAUCAUCAUCAUCUUCCGGGGGUUGAUGAGCUGGCGCCUGCAGCAUGUGUUACAGCGUCGACAUUGCUGAUCCUAUUUGGUACCAGUCAUUCGCCCGUGAACGCAUGGCCAUGCUCCUGGCUUUUAAUGUACCCCACAGCAGGCCCGCGUACCUUAGGCGCCAGCCAAUGUGCAUUUGGUCAAUGACAGGUUGGAGCACGGACACCCACGUCACUGCAAGGGGCAAUGUAAAAAGCUACCUCCUCCGGCUGGCGUUGUUGUCCUUUGACGCUGAGACCCCGGAUGAUACCCCGCAGCAACUGUUGAAUUGUGCCGUCAACGAGUCCUGAAUGUCAAUCGAUGUCCGAUGGUUAACAAGUCAAGGCAUGUGUACGCGCACGCCAGCCUACACUACUCACGCAUGCCGACACUGCAUCAUACCUCGUUGUUGUGAUGUUUCGAGCAGUCGGACCGAGCGUAUGCCUGUAGCCUCACUCUAUCAGCCUGGAAAAGGGAUGUCCGCCGCUUAAUCUCCCUGUCCAGCGCUAUUCGAUCUGCCCGCGGAUGUGACCGCCUUGAGCUCAACAUGUCCCA
This 1109-nucleotide long non-coding RNA is filed under the name Volvox carteri. Its description in RNAcentral is "long non-coding RNA (VCAR_LNC004085)". The record is from RNAcentral. Lineage: Eukaryota; Viridiplantae; Chlorophyta; Chlorophyceae; Chlamydomonadales; Volvocaceae.